RNAcentral lists this ribosomal RNA (440 nucleotides) under uncultured bacterium. RNAcentral describes it as "partial 16S ribosomal RNA". It matches the Rfam family "Bacterial small subunit ribosomal RNA", at positions 338 to 795 of the family's 1533-position model. The record is from RNAcentral.
CCUACGGGCGGCAGCAGUAGGGAAUAUUGCUCAAUGGGGGAAAGCCUGAAGCAGCAACGCCGCGUGGAGGAUGAAGGUUUUCGGAUUGUAAACUCCUUUUAGUAGGGAAGAUAGUGACGUUAUCUAACGAAUAAGCACCGGGUAACUCCGUGACAGCAGCCGCGGUAAUACGGAGGGUGCACGCGUUACUCGGAAUCACUGGGCGUAAAGAGCGCGUAGGCGGGAUAGCAAGUCAGAUGUGAAAUCCUAUGGCUUAACCAUAGAACUGCAUUUGAAACUGGUAUUCUAGAGUAUGGGAGAGGUAGGUGGAAUUCUUGGUGUAGGGGUAAAAUCCGUAGAGAUCAAGAGGAAUACUCAUGGCGAAGGCGACCUGCUAGAACAUAACUGACGCUGAUGCGCGAAAGCGUGGGGAGCAAACAGGAUUAGAUACCCCUGUAGUC